CCCUUAGAUGUCCUGGGCCGCACGCGCGCUACACUGAUGCAUGCAACGAGUUUAUAACCUUGGCCUGAAAGGUCUGAGUAAUCUUUUGAACGUGCAUCGUGAUAGGGAUAGAUUAUUGCAAUUGUUAAUCUUGAACGAGGAAUUCCUAGUAAACGCGAGUCAUCAGCCCGCAUUGAUUACGUCCCUGCCCUUUGUACACACCGCCCGUCGCACCUACCGAUUGAAUGGUUCGGUGAAGAUCUCGGACUUCGAUAUUUAUUCUUUAUUGAGUUUAUAUUGUGGGAAGUUAUCUAAACCUCAUCAUUUAGAGGAAGGUGAAGUCGUAACA
This 328-nucleotide ribosomal RNA is filed under the name uncultured eukaryote. Its description in RNAcentral is "partial 18S ribosomal RNA". It matches the Rfam family "Eukaryotic small subunit ribosomal RNA", at positions 1470 to 1796 of the family's 1831-position model. The record is from RNAcentral.